CUCAUUAAAUCAGUUAUAGUUUAUUUGAUGGUCUCUUUUUUCUAUUUUACCUACUUGGAUAACCGUGGUAAUUCUAGAGCUAAUACAUACGCAAGGUCCCGAGCGCGAGGGGCGGGGUCUCACAAGGAUCUCGUCCCUGCAUGCGCAGAGGGAUGUAUUUAUUAGGUUAAAAACCAGCAGCGUCAGCAAUGGCGUUUCACACAACUGGUGAUUCAUAGUAACUCUUUCGGAUCGCAUUCAUG
Molecule: ribosomal RNA, 242 nt
Filed under: uncultured Acanthamoeba
Lineage: Eukaryota; Discosea; Longamoebia; Acanthamoebidae
Description: partial 18S ribosomal RNA
Rfam family: Eukaryotic small subunit ribosomal RNA
Source: RNAcentral